GAUUCCCCCAGUAGCGGCGAGCGAACGGGGAGCAGCCCAGAGCCUGAAUCAGUGUGUGUGUUAGUGGAAGCGUCUGGAAAGGCGUGCGAUACAGGGUGACAGCCCCGUACACAAAAAUGCACAUACUGUGAGCUCGAUGAGUAGGGCGGGACACGUGGUAUCCUGUCUGAAUAUGGGGGGACCAUCCUCCAAGGCUAAAUACUCCUGACUGACCGAUAGUGAACCAGUACCGUGAGGGAAAGGCGAAAAGAACCCCGGCGAGGGGAGUGAAAAAGAACCUGAAACCGUGUACGUACAAGCAGUGGGAGCACGCUUAGGCGUGUGACUGCGUACCUUUUGUAUAAUGGGUCAGCGACUUAUAUUCUGUAGCAAGGUUAACCGAAUAGGGGAGCCGAAGGGAAACCGAGUCUUAACUGGGCGUUAAGUUGCAGGGUAUAGACCCGAAACCCGGUGAUCUAGCCAUGGGCAGGUUGAAGGUUGGGUAACACUAACUGGAGGACCGAACCGACUAAUGUUGAAAAAUUAGCGGAUGACUUGUGGCUGGGGGUGAAAGGCCAAUCAAACCGGGAGAUAGCUGGUUCUCCCCGAAAGCUAUUUAGGUAGCGCCUCGUGAAUUCAUCUCCGGGGGUAGAGCACUGUUUCGGCAAGGGGGUCAUCCCGACUUACCAACCCGAUGCAAACUGCGAAUACCGGAGAAUGUUAUCACGGGAGACACACGGCGGGUGCUAACGUCCGUCGUGAAGAGGGAAACAACCCAGACCGCCAGCUAAGGUCCCAAAGUCAUGGUUAAGUGGGAAACGAUGUGGGAAGGCCCAGACAGCCAGGAUGUUGGCUUAGAAGCAGCCAUCAUUUAAAGAAAGCGUAAUAGCUCACUGGUCGAGUCGGCCUGCGCGGAAGAUGUAACGGGGCUAAACCAUGCACCGAAGCUGCGGCAGCGACGCUUAUGCGUUGUUGGGUAGGGGAGCGUUCUGUAAGCCUGUGAAGGUGUGCUGUGAGGUAUGCUGGAGGUAUCAGAAGUGCGAAUGCUGACAUAAGUAACGAUAAAGCGGGUGAAAAGCCCGCUCGCCGGAAGACCAAGGGUUCCUGUCCAACGUUAAUCGGGGCAGGGUGAGUCGACCCCUAAGGCGAGGCCGAAAGGCGUAGUCGAUGGGAAACAGGUUAAUAUUCCUGUACUUGGUGUUACUGCGAAGGGGGGACGGAGAAGGCUAUGUUGGCCGGGCGACGGUUGUCCCGGUUUAAGCGUGUAGGCUGGUUUUCCAGGCAAAUCCGGAAAAUCAAGGCCGAG
This 1285-nucleotide ribosomal RNA is filed under the name Shigella flexneri. Its description in RNAcentral is "partial 23S ribosomal RNA". It matches the Rfam family "Bacterial large subunit ribosomal RNA", at positions 233 to 1560 of the family's 2925-position model. Lineage: Bacteria; Pseudomonadati; Pseudomonadota; Gammaproteobacteria; Enterobacterales; Enterobacteriaceae. The record is from RNAcentral.